RNAcentral lists this ribosomal RNA (450 nucleotides) under uncultured bacterium. RNAcentral's name for it is "partial 16S ribosomal RNA". It matches the Rfam family "Bacterial small subunit ribosomal RNA", at positions 354 to 796 of the family's 1533-position model. The record is from RNAcentral.
GUGGGGAAUAUUGGACAAUGGGCGAAAGCCUGAUCCAGCCAUGCCGCGUGUGUGAAGAAGGUCUUCGGAUUGUAAAGCACUUUAAGUUGGGAGGAAGGGCAGUAAGUUAAUACCUUGCUGUUUUGACGUUACCGACAGAAUAAGCACCGGCUAACUUCGUGCCAGCAGCCGCGGUAAUACGAAGGGUGCAAGCGUUAAUCGGAAUUACUGGGCGUAAAGCGCGCGUAGGUGGUUUUGUAAGUUGGAAGUGAAAUCCCCGGGCUCAACCUGGGAACUGCUUUCAAAACUGCUGAGCUAGAGUACGGUAGAGGGUGGUGGAAUUUCCUGUGUAGCGGUGAAAUGCGUAGAUAUAGGAAGGAACACCAGUGGCGAAGGCGACCACCUGGACUGAUACUGACACUGAGGUGCGAAAGCGUGGGGAGCAAACAGGAUUAGAAACCCGAGUAGUCC